RNAcentral lists this ribosomal RNA (253 nucleotides) under uncultured bacterium. Its description in RNAcentral is "partial 16S ribosomal RNA". It matches the Rfam family "Bacterial small subunit ribosomal RNA", at positions 524 to 776 of the family's 1533-position model. The record is from RNAcentral.
UACGGAGGGUGCAAGCGUUAAUCGGAAUUACUGGGCGUGAAGCGCACGCAGGCGGUCUAUCAAGUCGGAUGUGAAAGCCCCGGGCUCAACCCGGGAAUUGCAUUCGAAACUGGUAGACUAGAGUCUUGUAGAGGGGGGUAGAAUUCCAGGUGUAGCGGUGAAAUGCGUAGAGAUGUGGAGGAAUACCGGUGGCGAAGGCGGCCCCCUGGACAAAGACUGACGCUCAGGUGCGAAAGCGUGGGGAGCAAACAGG